Molecule: ribosomal RNA, 455 nt
Filed under: uncultured bacterium
Lineage: Bacteria
Description: bacterial SSU rRNA
Rfam family: Bacterial small subunit ribosomal RNA
Source: RNAcentral
UACGGAAGGCAGCAGUGGGGAAUAUUGCACAAUGGGCGCAAGCCUGAUGCAGCCAUGCCGCGUGUAUGAAGAAGGCCUUCGGGUUGUAAAGUACUUUCAGUCGUGAGGAAGGUGUUAAGGUUAAUAACCUUAGCAAUUGACGUUAGCGACAGAAGAAGCACCGGCUAACUCCGUGCCAGCAGCCGCGGUAAUACGGAGGGUGCGAGCGUUAAUCGGAAUUACUGGGCGUAAAGGGCACGCAGGCGGUUAAUUAAGUUGGAUGUGAAAUCCCCGGGCUUAACCUGGGAAUGGCAUUCAAGACUGGUUAGCUAGAGUCUUGUAGAGGGGGUAGAAUUCCAUGUGUAGCGGUGAAAUGCGUAGAGAUGUGGAGGAAUACCGGUGGCGAAGGCGGCCCCUGGACAAAAGACUGACGCUCAUGUGCGAAAGCGUGGGGAGCAAAACAGGGAUUAGAUACC